AACCUGCAUGAAAAAUAUCGCCACAAUAGUAUUAUUAUUGUGGAGAUACUUAAGGAUGAGAUGCAUUAAGGAGAUACACGGCGAUAAGAUUAAGUAGCAGAUUCUACCACACAAGAGAAAAGUAAAAGCAUUAUUCUUUGGUAUUUAUAAUUGGAGCAUGGUGACAUCGCGCAUAGUUUUAUAAUUACAAAUUUUACGUCUAGAACGCUCGUAUUUUUUUUUCCUCACCGUUAUGUUUUUAUUACAAAUUUUUAUAUUUUACAAUAUUAAUCUUACAGGACUGAUGCAGCAGAACCAGGAGCCAUUGUCAAAUAUAAACGUGUCUGUGAUGUAACAUCCACACGAUCUAUGUUGUACUGCAUGUUUGGUGCAUGGGCUCCUUGGCUGACACAUGGAUUAUGUUACGUUCUGUGUAGACUUGUUCGUAGCACCUUUUUUACAGAACUGCAGACUUCGGCUGAUUCUUUACCGUAGCCAAAUGAAAAAAAAUGUGUAAGUCAGGAAAAAGAAAGUUCUGUUGACGUCAGCAACAAUCAGCACAACUUAAGAGAUUUGAUUUAAUCAAUAAACCCAAGUCGGUUGUAACCAUUGACAAGUUCAAGUUGUAUAAAUCUAAUAUCGAAAUAACCGAAAUUAUUACUUGUGGCGACGGUAAUAUGCCAACAUUUUUCCUUGGUCAUUGUAGUUGACGAAAUGUUACUGUGUUGUGUAAUUUGUGCUGGCUUUCUAAGAUUUGAUUCACAACGACAUUACUGAAAUUUAAGUUGAAGCGACAGAACCAAAAUGAUGUGUUUAAAGGACUAACGUAACCUUCAAAAUCCAAUUAACACAGGGUACAAUUAAUAAGAAGAGCCCAGCCGAGGAAAUGACCAUUGAUUUCCGUCGCCGAUAUGCGGGGCGGAAUCUUUAAAAUCGCCUGAUGGGAGAUGGAUAGAGAGAUACAGCACAAAGCCCGCACGCUCUUAAGUUUUUGUCCAGGCUAAACGCUCGGAAAAUUCCUUUUUUGCGAAAGCCAAUGAAGAUGCUUUAUUUUAAUCUCUGUCAAUUAAAUGACCAAUCUGAACAGAGAGUGUUCAGAUUGGUCACAGAACAUUCCGUGUGCGGCCAUGACUAAAAGUGCUUACAUUUUGUUGGUCGCCCCUUGCUGGUCUCUUUGGUUUGGUCGUAGUAGCUUUAUUGAUGGGGAGCUAAGCACUAUUUUUUAAAUUCGUGUAUUUUAUCAGAUCAGCUGUUAUAAAACCAUGCACCAUCAACAUUUUCAAAAAUAUUUCAACAAGAGAGUAAAUUUUGAAGGCCUAAAUACUGAAAUAUUCAAAUGCUAAUAUGUAUUUAUUGCUGAAUUAAUAAACAAUGAACUACUUUAUCAUUCAAAUUGAGCUCGUUCAAAAGUUAUUAUAUUCGAAUCGUCAAGUUUCUACAUAGCAAGAUUUGUAUGCUGGAAUUUCCAGAACUUUCCAGAUCACUUUUAAAAAUAUCCAGUUAAAGUUUUAACUGUUAUUUUAGAAUACUUUGUACAGCUAUGUAAAAUUUUUAUUUUUUAUUUAUUGAGUUGUAUUUUAACAUUGCAGGUUAGUUAUAAAGAUAGUUAAGAAUCGUGAUACUCGUGAUUUGUUUACCCCAUAACUCUCCGUUUUCAAGGUCUACUUGAAAUCUUAAAGCCGCAGGGCUUCUUGUUUCGUUUAAAAAAUGCUUGCUGCAUAAUUACGAUCAAAGUAUGGUGAAAAAGAGUUUGAAAGCUACAUUAGGGUCCUUGUAAAGGAUAUCGAAACAAAUGUUUUUAAUAUUGUGCAGAUGCAGAUUUGUGGUGCGUGGCCUUGUGAUUAUGGAGUUCGCUUCGUAAUCACAAGGUCUGUGGUUCAGUUAACAGUGUGGGCAUGUUUAGUAAGUGCCUUUACCACAGCUAUGGGUCAACCCAUGCCAUGUGAGGAAAAUUGGGUAGGCAAUGCCGGUGUAUACUUAAUGUUUACAGUCAGGACACAGGACUCACAUUAAUAACAGUGUUUCCAACACUGAAGUGGCUAUAUCCUGUAUAAAUAUUCGGUAUAAUAAUAAAAGACCGUUUAUUCUAAUAAUCAGUGUCAUUUUAUACUUUCUUUGCAUUUUUUUAAAAGAUAACACUGACCUCCUGAAUUAUACGAAACUGCGACUUUUCAAGCCUUUUGUGAUUUGUGGAAGAGCAGAGCUAAAUAAAUAACAAAAUGUAAAUAAAGCGAGUAAUCGCGAGUAAUUUCGUACAAAUAUGCAUAUUAUAAAACAAGUAAAUACAAAAUUAUUUCGUUUUCAUGCUACAUGCUGGGAAAAUAUUGUACUUAAAUUACAGUACGAAGAAGUCAGGAUGUCAGUGGCAGCGACAGAGAUUAAAGAUCUAUUUAAGAUCAAAAUAAAACCACGCCAUGAUAGUUAUUCCGAUCAAUAUAAUCGCAUCUUCAUGGUGAAAAUUCUACUGGCUUGUACUAUUGUGUUUGGUAUCAGUUGGUAUAAAGAUAAAUUUAAUUGUGUCGUGCCAGACAGUCAAUCUAGUUCAGAAGAUUUUUAUAGUUUUGUUUCCACAACAUGUUGGGUUCAAGGUAUUUAUGUGUACAGAGAACUAAAGGAAAAGAUUGAGCUGGUAGUGUACUAUGGUGUACCAAAAGAUGUGUCAGACAAUGGAGUUAUAGAUGGAAAAUAUUUGUGUGAUGCUAAAAAGCCAAACCAACUUAUUAAUUCCAAUUUAAAAUGUAUUCCUAUGACAAAAUCCUUCUUUCUUCAGUACCAGUACAUGCCAUUCUUCAUCUGUGCAUUGGCAUUGUUGUACUACCUGCCAUACAUGAUUUCAAAGACGGUCAAUCAUGAUCUAAUCAACUUGCGUGAAGCUAUUAAGAAGAAUGAAACAGAUAUUAAUGGUAUUGUCAAGUAUUACUUUAAAGAUCGCAAGCAACGAGGAAAAUGCAGUAAGAUGCUGACAGCUAAACAGAUUGCAAAUAUAGGUGUUAAAGUUGCCUACAUCGCUGUCAACCUCGUUUCUUUUUUAUGUACUGACUCAAUUUUUCAUGGAAAGUUUAGAAAAUACGGAAGCGAAUGGAUUCAAUGGGGCAAAAGUAAUAACACACUAGCAUUUAAUUAUAUGGGAAAAAGAGGAUUUCCCAAACCAGGGAACCAGUUUCUUCCACCUUUUGGAUUGUGUGAAGUGUAUACCUCAGCAAAACACGUUGUUGAAACUCACAAUAACGUACAUGUAGUUUUGUGUGAAAUGUCUCAACAUAUCUUGUAUCAAUACGUCUUUAUGUUAUUGUGGUUCGCUAUGAUCACUGGGAUUGUUGUCUCAAUUAUUGGUCUCGUUAACCUUCUGAUAAAUUAUGUCAUUGGACUUGUUGGAAUUAGGCAAGUAUCUUUAAGUCCCCAGUACCCCCCCCCCCCUUUCUCAUUGAUUUGAUCCUAACUCCCAAUCCUUCCUUAACUUAAGGACUUAAGGGUUUUGUUCCCUCUUUCUAAUCUUAACACACCCACCAAUUGCAUUUGAUGACUUGUCAUACAGAGAAAUUGAAUACUUAGAAUUCAUGCGUAACAAGGAUCAACUUUUAUAUGGCGAGGUGAUUGACAGGCUAAAGAAACGGUUUGAUAAUCCCCCCUUAAUGAAAAAAGAUUAAGUUCUCUUAUACAUCAGCAGUUAUUUCUCUGGUGAACGGUUACCCCGCACCAAACACAUAAUGUUAAAAAAAAACAAGAUGCCGAAGCGGUUUUAACACUUACACUAAAAGAACAAAAUUUUCUUGGAAGUUAGGACUCAAUAUUUUUGCUUUUUUCUGUUUCUGACACACCUUAACCCUAUACUUAGAGUUAUUUCUACUCUACAUUAAUGCUGUAAUACAUUUGUGCAGAUUAUUCCUGCAUAAACCAAAGUGGCAUGCUAAAGAAAGCAUUGAUCGUUACAUUCAGAGAGACUUUACUUUUGUUUUUGAAUUGGUACACUUGGACUUGACGUGGCAAGAGUAAUAUUAAAAUAGUAUGUGACUCUAUCCUAUAAACUUCUGCAAGUAAAUGAACCUGGAUCUUUUACAGAUUUUCACUGUAAGAAUCUUAUCAUUAGACCCCAGAAGUUUUACACAAACAUCCAUAGGAAAUGAAUACAAAUGUUCUGUUAACUAUGUCGUAGAAAGAGCGGAAACCGCGAAAACGGAUGAUUUUCGAUUUCCGUCGAUUAAACUGCUUUUUUUCGGAGACUGAUUAAAAAGAUACUAUUUGUGAAAACUAUAUAUUUCAAGCUCUUUAGAGUUGGAAGCCCAAUCUAAAAAAUCACACGGAAAGUAAGUUUACUUACAUUAUACUUUACUGCGUUCUUAAAGAACCUUCAACGACCGAUACCGUAUAGAGCGCGAAAAUCUCGAAAACGGCUAAUUUUCGGUUUCCGUCGAUUAUAAACUGCUUUCUUUCGGCGCCAGAUCAAAAAAAAUAUCCUUUUUGAAAACUACGUGUGUCAAGUUUCUUAGCGUUGGAAACUGCACAACAAAAACCGUACAACAAAUAUCGCACAACAAAAACCGCACAACAAUAACCGCACAAUAAAAACCGCACAAAAAAAACUGCACAACAAAAACUGCAUUACAAAAACUGCACAGGCUUUGCUAAAUAACCAGAAUAUAUAGACACAGUAGAUAGGCUGAAAUAAUAUAAUAGAUACCUGGGUCUCACAAUUUAAUAUUACAAGAUAUAUGUUUCAGCUGAGGAUAAAAAGAAAAAAACACUAUCGAACCUGAGUAACCAGACUUAGUUCAUACUUUCUGACCUUAUGUGUUUUCUUAGAAGCGUUUAUAAAUAUUAGCUAAUCCACCAAGUGAUUCUUUAUGUGCAAGAAGCAAAAAAGUAAGCAAGCUGAAACCUGCAAUAUCUAUCUUUUUCUAGUUUCUCUGUGAUCAACUCAACGGCCACCACUGUAAAUGAUGUAUUGUGCCAAAGGCUUUUGGUGAAAAAGUUUACUGCCGGCAGAAUAAUUUUUUUGAUAUCGUGCUGGUACCGGUGAAAUAACGAACCAGAAAACAAUCAAAGGCAAUAUGCGAGUAGUUUGUGCUGCGUAUGAGAGGAAUCAAAACAAUCUCGCCGUACGUAUAUGUAACGUAAAACGCCGAGCUCACUUAGCUCUGCAAGGUUAUAUAUAAAACUUUGAUUAAAUGAGACAAAUCUCAUUAAAUAUUACACACAGAAAAACUGUGUAUUGGAGGGUCACGUGACGAGGCCUCUUCCAGGGCAAUGCUCGUAUCGCCGUCCCGAGGUCAGAAAAGAUACAAGAUGCCCUGAGGACGAGGUUAAUAAUAGCUAGCUUUAGGUGUAAGUGACGCAAAGAAGGGGUUCAUUACAUGUAAAAAACAGCGAUAUACUAGCUAUUAUUACCGUUUCUUAGUUUUCUUAAAAAUACCUAUUCCGUCCAUUGCGAUCACAGCGAUAAGCUAGCAUCAACACAAGUUCCGUUUAAGACGCUGCCUAUGUAAAGAAAGAUGACGUGAUAUUAGUAAAAGUGACCUGUGAAUCAUGUGGCUGAAACUCUAGGCUGGCUUGAUCUCAACUGAAAGUCCCCGCUCGGCCAUCUUGUAAAAAAACAAAAGCACUGCAUCGCCGUGUUGUCUCGCUGAAUCAGAAAAUUUACAGAAAAACAACCAGAUAAAUUACUGGGCAACCCAGUCCAAAAAAAUUGACGAAAAUUUAAAUUUUGGAUGUAUAGUGGGGAAAUCCUAUACAUCCUCCACCGUACCUUAUAUUUGACUAUUUAAUGAGGAAAUGAGCUUCGCUAUGAUCCACAUUAAGACAAGGCAUACCUAACACGCUGGAUAAGAACGAAGCUUGGAUUCCAGAAAGUGUCGUACAAAAGGGCGCCAUCAAGAACACUAGUUUUGGUGAAAAAGGCGCGUUAUCGAAAUUUGUUGUACCACGGUUUUUUGCGUUGCGUUUUAAACGCAGUGGAAGUCAAAUAGAACACCCUCUCCGCUCACUCUUUCCUCAGAUUAUUGUCAGAUUUCUGUUCUUUUCUGAAAAAAACGACUUAUUUUUGUGCGUUGCAAUUUUAUUUUCCAAACCUCUAUCUUCUGCGAAGAAAAGACAUUGUAUUGAGCCGAUGCAUGUGAACGUAUGCAGAAACUUAACUAUUUGAUGCAAUAUAUUUUUGAACAGUCUCUUCCACGUCGAGUUUGUUAUGUUCGCAAAUGGAUUCAUUCUUGUAGCAAAUAUAUUUAAGGCGUAAGUAAAGCACAAUAAGACGGGCGUAAUGUAUCGAUGUUGAGAUAGAGAAACGUAAACAUGAUUUCACGUACCUUUAUCUGGAACAUAACUCGAAUAAUAAAACUAAAAUAAAUACACGUUAAAAAUUAAGUGUGCGUUUUGUUUUACGUUUAAAUUAAACUUCGUUUCCGUUAACUUCUCCUUUAAUGUUUAAGCGUAACGUUAAAUAGAAAUAGGGCGUUUAUUUAGGGGCGUUCAGAAAAAAAACCUUCAAUAGAUUAAACGCUGUAUUCUGUCUCAACGCAUUGCAGACAUAGUAGAAAAAGC
Molecule: RNA transcript, 6513 nt
Organism: Hydractinia symbiolongicarpus
Lineage: Eukaryota; Metazoa; Cnidaria; Hydrozoa; Anthoathecata; Hydractiniidae
Gene name: innexin inx3-like
Exons: 6
Source: RefSeq, a predicted model, not a curated record